This 714-nucleotide ribosomal RNA is filed under the name Bacillus licheniformis. RNAcentral describes it as "bacterial SSU rRNA". It matches the Rfam family "Bacterial small subunit ribosomal RNA", at positions 65 to 759 of the family's 1533-position model. Lineage: Bacteria; Bacillati; Bacillota; Bacilli; Caryophanales; Bacillaceae. The record is from RNAcentral.
AGCGGACAGAUGGGGAGCUUGCUCCCUGAUGUCAGCGGCGGACGGGUGAGUAACACGUGGGUAACCUGCCUGUAAGACUGGGAUAACUCCGGGAAACCGGGGCUAAUACCGGAUGCUUGAUUGAACCGCAUGGUUCAAUUAUAAAAGGUGGCUUUUAGCUACCACUUACAGAUGGACCCGCGGCGCAUUAGCUAGUUGGUGAGGUAACGGCUCACCAAGGCAACGAUGCGUAGCCGACCUGAGAGGGUGAUCGGCCACACUGGGACUGAGACACGGCCCAGACUCCUACGGGAGGCAGCAGUAGGGAAUCUUCCGCAAUGGACGAAAGUCUGACGGAGCAACGCCGCGUGAGUGAUGAAGGUUUUCGGAUCGUAAAACUCUGUUGUUAGGGAAGAACAAGUACCGUUCGAAUAGGGCGGUACCUUGACGGUACCUAACCAGAAAGCCACGGCUAACUACGUGCCAGCAGCCGCGGUAAUACGUAGGUGGCAAGCGUUGUCCGGAAUUAUUGGGCGUAAAGCGCGCGCAGGCGGUUUCUUAAGUCUGAUGUGAAAGCCCCCGGCUCAACCGGGGAGGGUCAUUGGAAACUGGGGAACUUGAGUGCAGAAGAGGAGAGUGGAAUUCCACGUGUAGCGGUGAAAUGCGUAGAGAUGUGGAGGAACACCAUUGGCGAAGGCAACUCUCUGGUCUGUAACUGACGCUGAGGCCCGAAAG